Long non-coding RNA from Vombatus ursinus (common wombat), 905 nucleotides. RefSeq lists it as uncharacterized. Lineage: Eukaryota; Metazoa; Chordata; Mammalia; Diprotodontia; Vombatidae. The transcript is spliced from 2 exons. The record is from RefSeq and is a predicted model, not a curated record.
CUUUCCUACUCUCUUCCAAAUAUGUGGCAUGGAACUCUCUCUUUGGGGCUUACUACAAGGGGGAAGGGGAGAGAGAGGGGCCCUUCUGACCCUUGGCAGUCGUGGCGGCUGUUGGCACACAGAAGUGCACAUGUACGCUCCCUAAGUAAAUAUGAACCUGAAUUUCAGGACUGGGUGUCUUUUUCACUUGUGUUUCCUUCCCUGAGCAUAAGUGAUUGAAUAGUGAUCCUGUUUCCAACAGGACUUUUCCAACCUUAGAGGCAACCUCAUAAUCUAGAGUGCUCCUGGAUCCCUCAGUCAGAGCCGAAUGACAGCCAGAGGGGUCUUCUCCAAGGGCGCUCUAUUCAGAGAAGAUGAGUACAGAGGGAUGAUGAGUCCAAGCCCGGGUCUGGCUGGCCAGAAGACAUGGACCUUGAGGAUCAGUCAAAUCAGUACAGAUCCAAGGUGAAGAUCCUUUCAAACUGAGCCCUGGACAAAUCAAAUUGAAGAUGCCAUCAUCCUUUGGAACACCACAGAAUUGAUAUCUUAACAGCAUAACACUGCUCACUGACAGCAUUCACUCAAAGAUGCCAUUUCAGCAGACACAUUGAGGAAGUUUUCAAGAGGCCUUCACAGGUCUCUUCACCUACGGCUUAUCGGUAUCCAAACCCAAAAAGAAAUGCUACCAAGAUUGGAAAAGAAAAUGGUGGAUGAUUUUGCUGCCCCCUGCUGUCACAAUCAUUUAAUAGAAUCAGGGCUGAAAUUCACCACCAGGUUCAAAAUGCCUGAAGAUAUUGUUGACAAAAUAACUACGGUGCUUUACUGAGAGGCAUGUCCUCCCACUAUAUGCUUAAAUCCCAAGCCAUAAAGAAGCCUCAGAAACCCUAGACAAACUAAUGUUAAUAAACUUUAUUCCAUUUGUGUUA